GUCAGUUUGGCCGAGUGGUCUAAGGCGACAGACUCGAAAUCUGUUGGGGUUUCCCCGCACAGGUUCAAAUCCUGUAGCUGACG
Molecule: non-coding RNA, 83 nt
Organism: Coemansia sp. RSA 2611
Lineage: Eukaryota; Fungi; Kickxellomycota; Kickxellomycetes; Kickxellales; Kickxellaceae
Source: the annotation of a GenBank genome assembly